Molecule: long non-coding RNA, 620 nt
Filed under: Physcomitrium patens
Lineage: Eukaryota; Viridiplantae; Streptophyta; Bryopsida; Funariales; Funariaceae
Description: long non-coding RNA (PPAT_LNC006822)
Source: RNAcentral
UUUGGUUAGGAUUUGAUUCAAGGUUAGGGUUUGGUUAGGAUUCGAUUUAGGGUUAAGAUUUGGUUAGAGUUUGAUUUAAGAUUUAGGAUUAGGAUUAAAAUUUGAUUAGGAUUUGAUUUAGGAUUAGAAUUUAGGAUUUGGUUAGAGUUUGAUUUAAGAUUAGGAUUUAGGAUUUGAUUAAGAUUUGAUUUAGAAUUAGGGUUUGAUUAAGGAUUUAAGAAUUGGUUAGAGUUUAAGAUUUGAUUAGGUUUUGAUCAAAAUUAAAUUAAGAGUUUAAGGUUUUAUUUGAGUUUGUUUAAGAUUUAAGAUUUAGUUAGUUUUUGGCCUAAAGUUUGAAUGAAGUAAGAUUUUAACUAGGAUAAAAUUAACAUUGAAUUGAGAUGUAUUUGAGAUAUGUUUGUAAUCAUUCUUAUAUUUCUUUAAGAUAUCUUAUUAUUUCUUUGGAAUUCUUUUGAGGUUUCUUUGAAUUUGAUUAAAGCUUGUUUAGCAUUAUUAUUGUUCUAUUAAAAUUAGGAUUUUGUUGUUACAAUUUCUAUUCUACCUUCCACAGCCAGGUGCCUGGAGCAUUCUCAAGCAAGACUUCACGUAUUAUGACACCAAGAUGACAAGAAGCUUGAGUU